RNAcentral lists this non-coding RNA (29 nucleotides) under Rattus norvegicus (Norway rat). Lineage: Eukaryota; Metazoa; Chordata; Mammalia; Rodentia; Muridae. The record is from RNAcentral.
UGACCCCCAACGUCUCGUUUUAAGUUCCC